RNAcentral lists this ribosomal RNA (366 nucleotides) under uncultured bacterium. Its description in RNAcentral is "bacterial SSU rRNA". It matches the Rfam family "Bacterial small subunit ribosomal RNA", at positions 29 to 424 of the family's 1533-position model. The record is from RNAcentral.
AACGAACGCUGGCGGCAGGCCUAACACAUGCAAGUCGAACGCCCCGCAAGGGGAGUGGCAGACGGGUGAGUAACACGUGGGAACGUACCCUUCGGUUCGGGAUAACUCAGGGAAACUUGAGCUAAUACCGGAUACGUCCGAGAGGAGAAAGAUUUAUCGCCGAGGGAUCGGCCCGCGUCUGAUUAGCUUGUUGGUGAGGUAACGGCUCACCAAGGCGACGAUCAGUAGCUGGUCUGAGAGGAUGAUCAGCCACAUUGGGACUGAGACACGGCCCAAACUCCUACGGGAGGCAGCAGUGGGGAAUAUUGGACAAUGGGCGCAAGCCUGAUCCAGCCAUGCCGCGUGAGUGAUGAAGGCCCUAGGGUU